RNAcentral lists this long non-coding RNA (1101 nucleotides) under Capra hircus (goat). RNAcentral describes it as "lncRNA (ENSCHIG00000001496.1)". The record is from RNAcentral. Lineage: Eukaryota; Metazoa; Chordata; Mammalia; Artiodactyla; Bovidae.
GAUUGGGUGCGCAGUCUGGCCGGUUGCCCGCAGCAUUCUACCUGCUGCGCUGGGAAAGGCUGAGCCUCCAUGGAGAAAAAGAGGCUCCAUUGUAUAGAACACUCUCCCAUGCGCAAGCUCCAAGAGACUUCAUGCCAGGCAGAGGACACAGGAUAUGCUGAUAAUUAAGUGUCCAGGAUGGAUGGAGCACCACAGAAAUUCACUGAAGGCUGCUAGCCAGGAGACUCAAGAAGGAAUUGUUAAAAAAGAGAACUAUCCAAACAUUGUCCUCUCCCUUUGGAGCCUAAACAGGAAAGAAAACUCUUAGGUUGGGACCAUUACAGGAAUGAAAGAAAUAUCCUAGACAAAGGAAGAACUAUUCCAAAGCCAGCCUCAAGCUGGAAUGUGUUCUAGUUGAUUCCCUUUUCUUGCUUAGCAAGCACUGAGCUUCCUGUUUCUGGUUUGGACCUGAAGCGAAGGUUCCCAAAUACCAACAGGAAGGUCAUACUUGUGGUCUCCCUCCCUUGCUGAAACCCUGCUGAAGCCUGAAGCUCUAGAAUUCCACGUGGGUGUCAUUUUCUCAAGAGACUUCCAGCUGCAGUUCCCAGACCAGAGCUGGGUCCCUGUAUGCUCUUAGAUCUAUGGAUGAUUUACCUUUCCUACAAAAUAUCUAACCAUUCUUCCUCUUUUACUUUUCUGAGAUUCCAUUAUUAUCUUGCCAAGUAUGGGUUCAAUAAUUAAGAAGAGUUCUUGUGGGGAGGGGGUGGGAUUUUUAAACAGAGGAUAGACUCUCAAUAAGUGAGUUGUGUUAGGUUUCUGCAUAAAUGUCCACUUAUACUCAAAUACUGAGUACUUGUGAUAUACUAGUUAUUGUCUUCAAAGAGAGGUGUCCUUUCUAAUUUUGAGAAUCCACUUCUAUGAGCUGUAGAGAGGCAGACUACAGAUGUGUAAAUCAGAUUAUUACAUAAAUUCAUUUGUUCCACACGUUUAUAAAGACCCUGUGCAUACUAAGUAACUGUGGUAGUCACUGGUGUUCCAAAAAGUACUAACACUUUAUCAAGUGCUAACCAUAUUCUAGAUGCUUUUGCAUAUGUGAUCUUAGUUAAUUUUCACAACAAUUCU